GCCGCGGUGGCGGAACUGGCAGACGCGCUGGGCUUAGAACCCAGUGUCUUUAGCGGACAUGGGAGUUCAAUUCUCCCCCGCGGCA
RNAcentral lists this transfer RNA (85 nucleotides) under Candidatus Omnitrophota bacterium. RNAcentral's name for it is "Candidatus Omnitrophica bacterium tRNA-Leu". It matches the Rfam family "tRNA". Rfam says of the family: Transfer RNA (tRNA) molecules are approximately 80 nucleotides in length. Their secondary structure includes four short double-helical elements and three loops (D, anti-codon, and T loops). Further hydrogen bonds mediate the characteristic L-shaped molecular structure. tRNAs have two regions of fundamental functional importance: the anti-codon, which is responsible for specific mRNA codon recognition, and the 3' end, to which the tRNAs corresponding amino acid is attached (by aminoacyl-tRNA synthetases). tRNAs cope with the degeneracy of the genetic code in two manners: having more than one tRNA (with a specific anti-codon) for a particular amino acid; and 'wobble' base-pairing, i.e. permitting non-standard base-pairing at the 3rd anti-codon position. The record is from RNAcentral. Lineage: Bacteria; Pseudomonadati; Candidatus Omnitrophota.